This 66-nucleotide transfer RNA is filed under the name Urostylis flavoannulata. RNAcentral's name for it is "tRNA-Arg". The record is from RNAcentral. Lineage: Eukaryota; Metazoa; Arthropoda; Insecta; Hemiptera; Urostylididae.
AAAUAAUGAAGUAAAAUUUUACAAUUAGUUUCGACCUAAUAAUUAGGUUAACAUAACCCUUAUUUA